This 253-nucleotide ribosomal RNA is filed under the name uncultured bacterium. RNAcentral describes it as "partial 16S ribosomal RNA". It matches the Rfam family "Bacterial small subunit ribosomal RNA", at positions 524 to 776 of the family's 1533-position model. The record is from RNAcentral.
UACGAAGGGGGCUAGCGUUGUUCGGAAUCACUGGGCGUAAAGCGCACGCAGGCGGAUCGUUAAGUCAGGGGUGAAAUGCCGAGGCUCAACCUCGGAACUGCCUUUGAUACUGGCGAUCUUGAGUUCGGGAGAGGUGAGUGGAACUGCGAGUGUAGAGGUGAAAUUCGUAGAUAUUCGCAAGAACACCAGUGGCGAAGGCGGCUCACUGGCCCGAUACUGACGCUGAGGCACGAAAGCGUGGGGAGCAAACAGG